Molecule: long non-coding RNA, 355 nt
Filed under: Mytilus galloprovincialis (Mediterranean mussel)
Lineage: Eukaryota; Metazoa; Mollusca; Bivalvia; Mytilida; Mytilidae
Source: RNAcentral
UGCUUAUUCAUGUAAACAUGUAGACCAAACAUUUGCAACUAUUGACGCUGAAAAAUUAAUAUAGACGCCCGGUCGACAUUAUUUUUUACUUGAUCGAUAAAAACAUACCUAUAAUUAAGAUGACUUUGUUUUGUACCUAUAACCACCGUAAGACAAACUUUCAUAUAAAAAUCAACAACGGUAAUGAUAUGUUGUCUUAAUAGAAUAAUCCAGCCUCCUUUUUUGUAGAUAUUAAGCUAAUAUUUGGUUGAUAACCGUAUAAUGAUUAAUUACUGGGAUGUUUUUGUUUCAUUCUUAUAAUUGAAAAUAAUUGAUGACUAGUAAACAUCGAUAUAAACGCAACACAAAAACGUCA